UAGGGAAUCUUCGGCAAUGGGGGCAACCCUGACCGAGCAACGCCGCGUGAGUGAAGAAGGUUUUCGGAUCGUAAAGCUCUGUUGUAAGUCAAGAACGGGUGUGAGAGUGGAAAGUUCACACUGUGACGGUAGCUUACCAGAAAGGGACGGCUAACUACGUGCCAGCAGCCGCGGUAAUACGUAGGUCCCGAGCGUUGUCCGGAUUUAUUGGGCGUAAAGCGAGCGCAGGCGGUUUGAUAAGUCUGAAGUUAAAGGCUGUGGCUCAACCAUAGUUCGCUUUGGAAACUGUCAAACUUGAGUGCAGAAGGGGAGAGUGGAACUCCAUGUGUAGCGGUGAAAUGCGUAGAUAUAUGGAGGAACACCGGUGGCGAAAGCGGCUCUCUGGUCUGUAACUGACGCUGAGGCUCGAAAGCGUGGGGAGCGAACAGGAUUAGAUACCCUGGUAGUCCACGCCGUAAACGAUGAGUGCUAGGUGUUGGAUCCUUUCCGGGAUUCAGUGCCGCAGCUAACGCAUUAAGCACUCCGCCUGGGGAGUACGACCGCAAGGUUGAAAC
RNAcentral lists this ribosomal RNA (554 nucleotides) under uncultured bacterium. RNAcentral's name for it is "partial 16S ribosomal RNA". It matches the Rfam family "Bacterial small subunit ribosomal RNA", at positions 355 to 900 of the family's 1533-position model. The record is from RNAcentral.